This 502-nucleotide ribosomal RNA is filed under the name Salmonella enterica. RNAcentral's name for it is "bacterial SSU rRNA". It matches the Rfam family "Bacterial small subunit ribosomal RNA", at positions 1 to 492 of the family's 1533-position model. The record is from RNAcentral. Lineage: Bacteria; Pseudomonadati; Pseudomonadota; Gammaproteobacteria; Enterobacterales; Enterobacteriaceae.
AAAUUGAAGAGUUUGAUCAUGGCUCAGAUUGAACGCUGGCGGCAGGCCUAACACAUGCAAGUCGAACGGUAACAGGAAGCAGCUUGCUGCUUUGCUGACGAGUGGCGGACGGGUGAGUAAUGUCUGGGAAACUGCCUGAUGGAGGGGGAUAACUACUGGAAACGGUGGCUAAUACCGCAUAACGUCGCAAGACCAAAGAGGGGGACCUUCGGGCCUCUUGCCAUCAGAUGUGCCCAGAUGGGAUUAGCUUGUUGGUGAGGUAACGGCUCACCAAGGCGACGAUCCCUAGCUGGUCUGAGAGGAUGACCAGCCACACUGGAACUGAGACACGGUCCAGACUCCUACGGGAGGCAGCAGUGGGGAAUAUUGCACAAUGGGCGCAAGCCUGAUGCAGCCAUGCCGCGUGUAUGAAGAAGGCCUUCGGGUUGUAAAGUACUUUCAGCGGGGAGGAAGGUGUUGUGGUUAAUAACCACAGCAAUUGACGUUACCCGCAGAAGAAGCA